This 376-nucleotide ribosomal RNA is filed under the name uncultured bacterium. Its description in RNAcentral is "bacterial SSU rRNA". It matches the Rfam family "Bacterial small subunit ribosomal RNA", at positions 521 to 896 of the family's 1533-position model. The record is from RNAcentral.
UAAUACGUAGGGGGCAAGCGUUGUCCGGAUUUACUGGGCGUAAAGAGCGCGUAGGCGGAACGAUAAGCGGGGCCGGAAAGCCCCCGGCUCAACCGGGGAAGGGGCCGCGAACUGUCGUUCUUGAGGGGGAGAGAGGAGAGCGGAAUUCCUGGUGUAGCGGUGAAAUGCGUAGAGAUCAGGAGGAACACCCAUGGCGAAGGCAGCUCUCUGGCUUCACCCUGACGCUGAGGCGCGAAAGCGUGGGGAGCGAACGGGAUUAGAUACCCCGGUAGUCCACGCCGUAAACGAUGGUCACUAGGCGUUUGUGGUAUCGACCCCACAAGUGCCGCAGCCAACGCAAUAAGUGACCCGCCUGGGGAGUACGGCCGCAAGGUUG